This 159-nucleotide unclassified non-coding RNA is filed under the name uncultured Orbiliales. RNAcentral describes it as "sequence contains ITS1". The record is from RNAcentral. Lineage: Eukaryota; Fungi; Ascomycota; Orbiliomycetes; Orbiliales.
CUGGGUAAAGGCCUCGCGCCUCCAACCCCACCCUUUGCAACCGCGGCCCGGAUUCGGCGCCUGGCGGGGGAUCCCCUCUGUUCGCGGAGGCCCCUCGCCUGCCGGAAUCAGCCAACCCUGCUUUGAAAAUUGAAGUCUGAGAACAAGUUAAAUUAAACA